GGUUCAUUCGUCUAUCGGCGUAGGAUAUCUGACUGUCUCUCAGAAGAGAGGGGUUCAACUCCCCUAUGAACCG
Molecule: transfer RNA, 73 nt
Filed under: Caudoviricetes sp.
Lineage: Duplodnaviria; Heunggongvirae; Uroviricota; Caudoviricetes
Description: tRNA-Asp
Rfam family: tRNA
About the family: Transfer RNA (tRNA) molecules are approximately 80 nucleotides in length. Their secondary structure includes four short double-helical elements and three loops (D, anti-codon, and T loops). Further hydrogen bonds mediate the characteristic L-shaped molecular structure. tRNAs have two regions of fundamental functional importance: the anti-codon, which is responsible for specific mRNA codon recognition, and the 3' end, to which the tRNAs corresponding amino acid is attached (by aminoacyl-tRNA synthetases). tRNAs cope with the degeneracy of the genetic code in two manners: having more than one tRNA (with a specific anti-codon) for a particular amino acid; and 'wobble' base-pairing, i.e. permitting non-standard base-pairing at the 3rd anti-codon position.
Source: RNAcentral